RNAcentral lists this ribosomal RNA (253 nucleotides) under uncultured archaeon. RNAcentral's name for it is "partial 16S ribosomal RNA". It matches the Rfam family "Archaeal small subunit ribosomal RNA", at positions 474 to 727 of the family's 1478-position model. The record is from RNAcentral.
AACCAGCACCUCAAGUGGUCAGGAUGAUUAUUGGGCCUAAAGCAUCCGUAGCCUGCUCUGUAAGUUUUCGGUUAAAUCUAUGCGCUCAACGUAUAGGCUGCCGGAAAUACUGCAGAGCUAGGGAGUGGGAGAGGUAGACGGUACUCGGUAGGAAGGGGUAAAAUCCUUUGAUCUAUUGAUGACCACCUGUGGCGAAGGCGGUCUACCAGAACACGUUCGACGGUGAGGGAUGAAAGCUGGGGGAGCAAACCGG